This is a long non-coding RNA of Gadus morhua (Atlantic cod), 3410 nucleotides long. The record is from Ensembl. NCBI's taxonomy places the organism in Eukaryota, Metazoa, Chordata, Actinopteri, Gadiformes, Gadidae.
UGGAAGGGGAGAUUUGGAGGUACCUGGUCAGGUCUUGUUCAGCCUUCAAAUCCCAGAUGUGGAGACUGCAGGGAUACCUCACAGAGAAGACACUAAAGAGUCAUCUCUCAUUCAUCGAGUGGACUCAUUGGUUUGCGUAUUACCACAAAGAUGCUCCCAUAGGCAGAUUGCUGCAUGGCAUUCACCACUUAUUCAAAUUGAAGAGGUUGAAGCAGUCUUCCUUGUGGUCACUUGCCAUAACAAUGUCAUGUGUUUUAUGAAAACACCAUCAGUAACAUUUAAAUUGAGUUGAUGUGGACGGCUCUUUUUUUUGUCCGAUUUCUUCAGUGUUCAGUGCCUGUUUGUGAGAUAUGCAUUGUUUGAAAGAUAAGCCUUUGAUUUUGUUUAAUUUUAAUAUGCCUUUCAUCAACAGUGGUUUGGGGUUUUAUAACAACAAUUAAAGUGCUUAACUACUGGUGAACGAUGUUGCAGAACAUAUAUAGUUUGUGUUGAUUGCAUGGAAAAGGGAAAAACCAGUUACAACUUAUAUGGUAAGAGCCUGGUAAUACCAUGGAAACAAACUAGGCUUCCUUUUACAGUACAGUUUCAGCUUACUUACUGGGUAAAUUGUUGUGUUUUACUUGAUAACGUCGCAGAACGUACAUGGUACAAGUUUGUGUUGACUGCAUGGAAAAGGGAAUAAUGUAUUACAAAAUAUGGUAAGAACCUGGUAAUACCAUGGAAACAAACGAGGCUUCCUUUUACAGUACAGUUUCAGAUUAAUUACUGGGUAAAUUGUCGUGUUUUACUUGGUAACGUCGCAGAACGUACAUCAUGGUACAAGUUUGUGUUGACUGCAUGGAAAAGGGAAUAAUAAAUUAUAUGGUAAGAACCUGAUAAUACCAUGGAAACAAACAAGGUUUCCUUUUACAGUACAGUUUCAGCUUAAUUACUGGGUAAAUUGUCGUGUUUUACUUGGUAACGUCGCAGAACGUACAUGGUACAAGUUUGUCUUGACUGCAUGGAAAAGGGAAUAAUAAAUUAUAUGGUAAGAACCUGGUAAUACCAUGGAAACAAACAAGGUUUCCUUUUACAGUACAGUUUCAGCUUAAUUACUGGGUAAAUUGUCGUGUUUUACUUGGUAACGUUGCAGAACGUACAUGGUACAAGUUUGUGUUGACUGCAUGGAAAAGGGAAUAAUGUAUUACAAAUUAUAUGGUAAGAACCUGGUAAUACCAUGGAAAUAAACUAGGCUUCCUUUUACCGUACAGGUUCAGCUUAAUUACUGGGUAAAUUGGUGUGUUUUACUUGGUAACGUCGCAGAACGUACAUGGUACAAGUUUGUCUUGACUGCAUGGAUAAUGGAAUCUAUUAUAAAUGAUAUGGUAAGAACCUGGUAAUACCAUGGAAUCAAACGGCUUUGUACCCAGUAUUUAAGAAGAUGUACCAUAACACUAGAGGAAAACUUUUCCUGCAGAGGUUGUUACCAGAUAAGUAAUUCCACAGUGGUAAAUCGAAUAAACCCUUUCUAAAUGGGUGCAGCUACGAAUAAUAACUAAGAAAAAGUAUUUCAUUGGAAAGCACUAUGCUAAUUUCUAGAUAGUACAUCAUUAAACUUGGGCUGUUAACAACAUAAACCUUGGAUAAUAGGUGUUUAUAAGAAUUGGUUGCCUAAUUUCCUAGGAAGUACACAAUAUCGGAGUUAUUACCAACCUAAAACAGUUACAACUACACACUACUUAGUUGAGUUGAUGGGUAAUAGUGGAGGUUUUACUUGGUACUUCAGCUGUAAUUCCUCUGUAUUUACCUUCUUAUUACCAGUGGUAAUUACACAGUAAUACACUAUAAUUUACCGGAUAAUUUCUCUGUAUUUACCUUCUUAUUACCAGUGGUAAUUACCCAGUAAUACACUAUGAUUUAUCAUGUAUUUGCUGGGUAACUACCUCUGUAUUUACCUUCUUAUUACCAGUGAUAAUUACCCAGUAAUACACUAUGAUUUACCAUGUAUGUACCGGGUAAAUACCUAGUAAUUAGGGGACUGUAAAAGGAAGGGUUACCACAUAAGGUAUAACUCCGCUCCAACGCGGUCCCGGGGUGUGUUCCUGGCGAUCCCUGGCGGCGAUCGCCAAGCAGUCCAACAAACCACAAGUCUUUAAACAUUAAUUAUACUCUGCUCCAAGCGGUCACAGGAUGCUUUCCUGGCGAUCUCUGGCAGCGAUCGCCUCUCUCUCUCUAAUCACCAUUCCUCCUACUACAAGACAAAGCAGGCACGUAAUUACACACUCCUGAUUGGUCUGAUUGCGAGCAGACUGCCCGCAAUCAGACCCAUCCCCCCCCCCCCGCAGAUCCAGUGUGCUCCCAACAUGCCCAUACUCCCCCUAAAGGCCAGACGUGGCACAUCCCCCCACACACCCCACAUCCGGCCGCCAACUCACUCCCCCCCCCGGAACGGGAGAGGAAGUCCACCACGGCCAUCUGCGCCCCAGUCCUGUGCACCACCCGGAAAUUGAAAGGUUGCAACGCAAGCUACCAACGGGUUAUCCUCGCAUUGACUUCCUUCAUUCGAUAGAGCCACUGGAGGGGGGAAUGGUCGGAGUAGAGGGUGAACGUGCGACCCAACAGGUAGUAGCGAAGGGCGCCGACCGCCCAUCGGAUGGCGAGACACUCCUUCUCCACCGUGCUGUACCGAUCCUCCCGGUCUGACAGUUUGCGGCUCAGGUAAGGCACCGGUCAGUCGGCCCCCUACACCUGCUGGGUCAGGACCGCGCCCACCCCCCUGUCCGAUGCGUCUGUCUGCAGGGAAAAAGGGAGAUAAAGUUAGGAACACACAGGACCGCUUCCCCGCAGAGGGCUGUUUUAAUAGCCUCAAACGACACUUGGCAUUCCUCCAACCACUGGACUGUACCUGGGGCCCUCUUACGGGCGAGGUUUUUCAAGGGGCUGGCUAGGUCCGAGAAGUGCAGCACAAACUGCCGGUAGUACCCCUGACUCACAGAGAGGUCCUGGAGGGGGCCUGGUGCCGGGACUUCCGGACCGAGCUCCUCUCUCUCCGGUAGCGUCGUCACGAAAGCGACAGGGACCGCAUUGUUCCACCUCGUAAGGAGGUUGAUGUGAUAUAUCUGUUUGUUUUCGCCCCUGUCCAACCGUGCUACCUCGUAAUCCAAAUCCUCGACUCGCCGUGUGACCACAAAGGGUCCUUGCCACCUCGCGAGUAAUUUGGUGCUAGAGGUGAGCAGCAGUACAAGGACCUAGUCCCCCGGUGUAAGAUUGCGUAAUCUAGUCCCUCUGUCGUACAGGCGUCUCUGACUCUUCUGGGCUCGGUGCAGGUGCUCUCGUGACAAUACCCCUAGUGAGUGAAGCUUUGCACGCAAGUCCAUGACGCACUGUAUUUCGUUUUUGCUGUCACUCCCAGUUUUCUUUAAUGAGGUCCA